CCUACGGGAGGCAGCAGUGGGGAAUAUUGGGCAAUGGGCGCAAGCCUGACCCAGCAACGCCGCGUGAAGGAAGAAGGCUUUCGGGUUGUAAACUUCUUUUAUCAGGGACGAAGCAAGUGACGGUACCUGAUGACUAAGCCACGGCUAACUACGUGCCAGCAGCCGCGGUAAUCCGUAGGUGGCAAGCGUUAUCCGGAUUUACUGGGUGUAAAGGGCGUGUAGGCGGGAGUGCAAGUCAGAUGUGAAAACUAUGGGCUCAACCCAUAGCCUGCAUUUGAAACUGUACUUCUUGAGUGCUGGAGAGGCAAUCGGAAUUCCGGGUGUAGCGGUGAAAUGCGUAGAUAUACGGAGGAACACCAGUGGCGAAGGCGGAUUGCUGGACAGUAACUGACGCUGAGGCGCGAAAGCGUGGGGAGCAAACAGGAUUAGAUACCCCAAUAGUC
RNAcentral lists this ribosomal RNA (443 nucleotides) under uncultured bacterium. Its description in RNAcentral is "partial 16S ribosomal RNA". It matches the Rfam family "Bacterial small subunit ribosomal RNA", at positions 338 to 795 of the family's 1533-position model. The record is from RNAcentral.